RNAcentral lists this ribosomal RNA (460 nucleotides) under uncultured bacterium. Its description in RNAcentral is "partial 16S ribosomal RNA". It matches the Rfam family "Bacterial small subunit ribosomal RNA", at positions 338 to 795 of the family's 1533-position model. The record is from RNAcentral.
CCUACGGGUGGCAGCAGUGAGGAAUAUUGGUCAAUGGACGAGAGUCUGAACCAGCCAAGUAGCGUGAAGGAUGACUGCCCUAUGGGUUGUAAACUUCUUUUAUAAAGGAAUAAAACGAGGCACGUGUGCCUUUUUGCAUGUACUUUAUGAAUAAGGAUCGGCUAACUCCGUGCCAGCAGCCGCGGUAAUACGGAGGAUCCGAGCGUUAUCCGGAUUUAUUGGGUUUAAAGGGAGCGUAGAUGGGUUGUUAAGUCAGUUGUGAAAGUUUGCGGCUCAACCGUAAAAUUGCAAUUGAUACUGGCAGUCUUGAGUACAGUUGAGGUAGGCGGAAUUCGUGGUGUAGCGGUGAAAUGCUUAGAUAUCACGAAGAACCCCGAUUGCGAAGGCAGCUUACUGGACCGUAACUGACGUUGAGGCUCGAAAGCGUGGGGAGCAAACAGGAUUAGAUACCCCAGUAGUC